CCCUUAGAUGGUCUGGGCGGCACGCGCGCUACAAUGAUGCAUUCAAAAAGUCUUCUGACCUUAGAAGGUUGGGUAUUCUCCAAAGUGCAUCGUGAUGGGAAUAGUUUAUUGCAAUUUUUAAUCUUGAACGAGGAAUUCCUAGUAAGUACAGGUCAUCAACUUGUGUUGAUUACGUCCCUGCCCUUUGUACACACCGCCCGUCGCUCCCACUGAUUGAGUGUCUCGGUGAAUUCUUUGAUCUUCUGUCGAUUCAGUUCACUGAUCCGACGGUGGAAAGUUGAAUGAACUUCGUCACUUAGAGGAAGGAGAAGUCGUAACA
RNAcentral lists this ribosomal RNA (319 nucleotides) under uncultured eukaryote. RNAcentral describes it as "partial 18S ribosomal RNA". It matches the Rfam family "Eukaryotic small subunit ribosomal RNA", at positions 1470 to 1796 of the family's 1831-position model. The record is from RNAcentral.